GUCCAUUAAAUUGAGCCCAAAUAAUCUUAAUAAGGCCCAAAACUGAAAGCCCUCUUAAACACCCCUUCUCUCUUCAGCCAAACAAAACCUAGAAACAAAUUAAGGUUCCAAACUUUUCAUCCUUUCCAGCAGCUGCCCCCACCUCUUUCCCCUUAUGAAUGAAAAGAUAAUCUCUCACUCCUAGACCAGAGCUUGCAGCUCCAUUUUCAUGAAAUUCUUCCUCCCUCAUCUCUGUCACAAGAUCUGGUCAAGCUAAAAAGCCAAAAAACUUUUGAAGAAAUAUGCAUUUUUCAGAGAUUGGUCUUUCUUUUCAAAUGGCUCUUUUGGAGCCAAAAUCUCAAGCCGUGACCUCUUUGUGGUGUUCAAAUUUCAGAUUCAAAAAACCUAAUGUUUGCCUAUAAAUACUCCUCUUAAUGCUCUAGCCGAAAAAAAAAGAGUUUUUGGAAUCCUAAAAAAUACUCUCUCAUUUUAAACUGUUGAUAUCUUUUCUACUAUCUCUAAAAGUAACUUUAGUAUUUUCCUCUCUCUAUCUCCGUCCGUGUUGAUUUCGUUCGAAGUCUUAGACGAGACUCCCAUUUUAGCCCAUAAUUGAAUUGGGACGUUACUGUAUCCCUCCCACACUUCGACGUUCAGCAUAUCGGAUCAAAGUUUCAAUCCUUAGAAAUAUUUAGUUACUUGUGAUUCACCUUUUUGGGUGAAUUAUUAAUUCUACUUCAAUUUCCUCACAUCUUGUAUUAGCUACUUUUGUUUUGCCUAUGCUUGUUUGGUUAUUUAAGAGAAUUAGCCGUAGAACAUUCGAACCAUUUAGAGGCGUAAUUGGGACAUUAUAUUAGUAAGUCUUAAAAAUAAAUGUUUUUUUAGAAAUCACAAUCUAGUUUGCUUUACGUGGUGUUUCAAAUUCUUCAUGAGCCAAAAGACGUAUGUAUUCUUUUCAAAAUUCUAAAUUCUAAAAAAAAUAUUUUCCAAAAGGAUAUUAAAAUUAACUCUUUUUGCAAGCAAAUUGAUUUGUUGUAAAAAAAAUAAAAUGAUUUUCCUUAAUAGUGAUAUACUUGAUUA
Lycium ferocissimum is the source of this 1056-nucleotide long non-coding RNA. RefSeq lists it as uncharacterized. The record is from RefSeq and is a predicted model, not a curated record. The transcript has 2 exons. NCBI's taxonomy places the organism in Eukaryota, Viridiplantae, Streptophyta, Magnoliopsida, Solanales, Solanaceae.